This is a non-coding RNA of Ceratotherium simum simum (southern white rhinoceros), 104 nucleotides long. The record is from RefSeq and is a predicted model, not a curated record. NCBI's taxonomy places the organism in Eukaryota, Metazoa, Chordata, Mammalia, Perissodactyla, Rhinocerotidae.
GCCCAGGGCCAACAAAGGAAUCACUAUCUUUGGCAGCUAUAGUCUUACAAAAUGUAUUUAUUAACUAAUAAGACUUGAAAGUUGAAAUUACUCCUUGAUCCAUG